UGAUUAAUUUAAUGGCCGCAGUAUUUUGACUGUGCAAAGGUAGCAUAAUCAUUAGUUUUUUAAUUGAAAGCUGGUAUGAAUGGCUAUAUGAGAAAAAAGCUGUCUUUAUUUAAUUUUAAUAGAAUUUUAUUUUUAAGUUAAAAAGCUUAAAUUCUUUUUAAAGACGAGAAGACCCUAUAGAGUUUUAUAAAUUAUUUAUUUUAAUAAUUUUAAGUAUUUAUUUUUUAUUAUAUAUAAUUUAUUUUGUUGGGGUGACAUAAAAAUUGAAUUAACUUUUUAUAUUUAAACAUUUGUUUAUGAUUAUUUGAUCCAAUAUUUUUGAUUAUAAGAUUAAAUUACCUUAGGGAUAACAGCGUAAUUUUUUUGGAGAGUUCUUAUCGAUAAAAAAGUUUGCGACCUCGAUGUUGGAUUAAAAUUUAUAGUUGGUGCAGUAGUUAACUUAUUAGGUCUGUUCGACCUUUAAAAUUUUACAUGAUCUGAGUUUAAACCGGCGUAAGCCAGGUUGGUUUCUAUCUUGAAUUAAUAUUUAUUGUUUUAGUACGAAAGGACCAAACUUUAAUAAAAUUUAUUUUGUUUUAGAAUAUAAUUGUUACUUUGGCAGAUUAGUGCAUUAAAUUUAGAAUUUAAUUAUGUAUAUAGAUACAAGUAAUACUUGAUUUUGUUAGAUUAUUUAUUAAUUUUAAUUAGAACUUUAAUUUUGGUUAUUUUAGUUUUAGUAGGAGUG
RNAcentral lists this ribosomal RNA (724 nucleotides) under Scoliopsis sp. SLE0090. RNAcentral's name for it is "partial 16S ribosomal RNA". The stretch from base 346 to 504 matches the Rfam family "Bacterial large subunit ribosomal RNA", at positions 2473 to 2632 of the family's 2925-position model. Lineage: Eukaryota; Metazoa; Arthropoda; Insecta; Coleoptera; Hydrophilidae. The record is from RNAcentral.